CCUACGGGUGGCAGCAGUGGGGAAUAUUGCACAAUGGGGGAAACCCUGAUGCAGCGACGCCGCGUGAGUGAAGAAGCGUUUCGGCGCGUAAAGCUCUGUCAGCGGGGAAGAAACACGGUUCGCGCGAGCCCCCUCCUGUACCCGACCAAGAAGCCGCUGCUAACUACGUGCCAGCAGCCGCGGUAAUACGGAGGGGUCAAGCGUUAUCCGGAUUCACUGGGUGUAAAGGGAGCGUAGACGGCGAGACAAGUCUGGAGUGAAAGGCCGGGGCCCAACCCCGGGACUGCUCUUGAAACUGCGUGGCUGGAGUACAGGAGAGGUAAGCGGAAUUCCUAGUGUAGCGGUGAAAUGCGUAGAUAUUAGGAGGAACACCAGUGGCGAAGGCGGCUUACUGGACUGUAACUGACGUUGAGGCUCGAAAGCGUGGGGAGCAAACAGGAUUAGAUACCCGAGUAGUC
Molecule: ribosomal RNA, 458 nt
Filed under: uncultured bacterium
Lineage: Bacteria
Description: partial 16S ribosomal RNA
Rfam family: Bacterial small subunit ribosomal RNA
Source: RNAcentral